CUAAACUGUGCUUUGAGAGGAUCCUGAUAAUUUCCCAGUACAGCUGGGCCACAGGACCACAUGGUCUGCAAACAGCUUCCGCCACUGAGUUCCCUGCACUAAGUCCUUCAGCUGGAAGUCUCUGCCCUCCUCUUGAAGUUAAAUAAUCCUGUGGCUCAUUUUGUGACAUCCAGGGGAUCUUGCAGAGUUCCUCACUGUGACAGUGCGAGUUGCUGCUGCAGUCAGAACAGCGGGAGAGCUCAGGGAGGGAGGAUUUGAGGCAUGGUGCGGUGCUGCCUCCAGUCUUGGCUGGUGGGACAGGAUGUGGGGACUCCUUCAACAGCCUAAAAAGGGUGUGAGCUGAAUGUCUGUGCGCUGCUCAAGCAUACUGUUCUCUGAAGCAUAAUCUCUCCACCAUCGGUCCUUUGCAUCACCCACCUGACAGGCUAUGGCAACUUCAUGAGCCCUAAGCAGCCACUGAAAACAUUAAGGUUAUGUACAGUAUGAAAUGAUACGUGUGCCCAUGUUGAGACCUACAUAUACAUGUUUGUGACAAAUGAGUUCCCAGCAAGAUUCAGCAGGCCACUGCUGCCUGAAAUCAACAAGUUGCAUCACGCCAUUUGUGAGAGAACUUGCUUCUAACAAAAAGAGAACAGUUUGCAGACCUCAAGCACGUGCAGUUUCAAGCUCUGGGGAGCAGCAAGAAGAGCUGCACCAGUGAAACUCAUACCUACUGCAGCCCAGCUGCUGACUGUUAGCCGGAACUGGGGCGCAAACCAUUCCCAUUAAGUGGACACAGAAUGCAGAACAGCCAUGCUAAUUUCAGUAAUUUCUCCCAUGACUGCUUUUCCUCUGCUUUAUCCACUUAACUCUCAUCUGUUUUGUCCUCUGGGCACAUAUCUGCGUGACUCAAUUUCACUUUCCAGGAAGAGGUAACCCUCCUGAGCCUCCUCCUGGGCUUCCUUCUUGGCAAGAAGAUCUCGUGCCUCCUAGGAAAGCACGCACAGGAAAUCGGGGGAGAAUGGAUUUGAAGCUUGUGGUUGAGUCACAUCAGUUAUCCUGACGUGGACUUCAGAUCUGAAAAGAUGAAAACGCCAUUCAUAUUUUGAUCACCGUGCCAAAGGUUACAUUGGAUAACUGGACAAAAUGUGCUGUAGAAACCUCUGCAAGUGAACUGCUCUGCUCGUCACCUCACGCAGGACUGGUAGGUGCUGUAAGAACAUCUCCAGGAUCCAGCAUACAAGUGGAAGCAGUGGCAGCUCAGGGAGCAUGUUUAUCAUGCAUGUUUAUCAUCCAGCUUUUCUGAUGGAUGUGCAGGCCCCGUGGAACUCCGGGUUGCUAUAGCUACUCCCUUAUCACAACCUGAGCCCUCUGUACACAAAAGACAGC
This 1368-nucleotide long non-coding RNA is filed under the name Gallus gallus (chicken). RNAcentral describes it as "lncRNA (ENSGALG00010015125.1)". Lineage: Eukaryota; Metazoa; Chordata; Aves; Galliformes; Phasianidae. The record is from RNAcentral.